Molecule: ribosomal RNA, 396 nt
Filed under: uncultured bacterium
Lineage: Bacteria
Description: partial 16S ribosomal RNA
Rfam family: Bacterial small subunit ribosomal RNA
Source: RNAcentral
AUACGUAGGUGGCGAGCGUUGUCCGGAAUUAUUGGGCGUAAAGAGCAUGUAGGCGGUUUUUUAAGUCCGGAGUGAAAAUGCGGGGCUCAACCCCGUAUGGCUCUGGAUACUGGAAGACUUUAGUGCAGGAGAGGAAAGGGGAAUUCCCAGGGUAGCGGGGAAAUGCGUAGAUAUUGGGAGGAACACCAGUGGCGAAGGCGCCUUUCUGGACUGUGUCUGACGCUGAGAUGCGAAAGCCAGGGUAGCGAACGGGAUUAGAUACCCCGGUAGUCCUGGCCGUAAACGAUGGGUACUAGGUGUAGGAGGUAUCGACCCCUUCUGUGCCGGAGUUAACGCAAUAAGUACCCCGCCUGGGGAGUACGUCCGCAAGGAUGAAACUCAAAGGAAUUGACGGGG